Molecule: long non-coding RNA, 1844 nt
Filed under: Oryctolagus cuniculus (rabbit)
Lineage: Eukaryota; Metazoa; Chordata; Mammalia; Lagomorpha; Leporidae
Description: lncRNA (ENSOCUG00000030614.1)
Source: RNAcentral
AACCCACAGAAAAGAGCUUCUCUUUUUCAGCCUAGAGAAAGAGAAUUUGAGAGAGAGAGAGAGAGAGAGAGAGAGAGAGAGAGAGAGAGAGAGACACGCGGGGACAGAGACCAGCCGCGGGGACACGUGGAGGAAGAGAGCGCAGCUUCCUCGAGCGCCCGCACCUCCGGGAGCGGAUGCGCCCCGUCCCGCGCGCUGCGGUGCGUCGGUGCGUCCGUCGGCCUCCCAUCCCGGACCCCGGGACGGGGCUGAGAGGGCAGGUUCCAGAGCCGCUCGGGGCGCCGGGGAUUUCAGCGGCCAGCCCGGCGGGCAGCUGGCUCUGUUUGUCCAGGUGUGGGCGGGGGGCGGCCUGGGCCGCACCAAGGAAGCCGGCGACUCUGCUCGCGCGCUCCCCGCUCGCAGGCGAAAACGCCCGCCCUCCACCCGUCCUCACACACCGCCGAGGCAGCACACAAAUCCUCAUUGUUCAGAAAGAAGCCGAGGAGGCCGGCGGCUCCCCCGGCCCGGCAGAGCGAGGCAGCCUUGCAGGGAGGGAGGCGGGGGCCGCGAGGAUCCGGUGUCGCGUUGCAGAUUCUCACUAAAGAUAACGAAACGUGAUCUAUUUUUCAGGCCAGCAAGUGGAUGGGAAAGAACCUUGACAACACAAAACUCAUUUACUAAUGGACUGGUUUUGGGUUUCCCUUCUCUGGGUCCGCGGAUCGCCCUGCCUGAGCCCUCGGCCUAUUCAGACCUCGCGGGCAGCAGCGUCCCCGUCGAAAGCAGGGACUCGGCUGUGCUGCAAGACCUCCCUCCACCCCACCCCCAUUAUAAUUGUGCGCACUUGCUCCAGACUUUAGGGUAUUAGCUGAUUUUCGGAGCCUGGUUUAAGCCUCCGUUCCGGUCCUCACACAGCUGCGUUGUCAAUAAGACUGUUCCAAGCAGAGACAUUCGUUCUGGCAGGACACCGCAGCUCCUCAAGACUUCAUCUGAAAACAUCACGGGCACUAAAAUAAGACAGCGAGGGAAAAUUACCAGACACAUGGCCUUGGACUCAGAGUGCCAGGCUUCUAGUUUAGCAAGUAAGUCACUGAGCGUACCAUGUGGCAGGGGUUCUUUUGAAACCACACGCACCCAUUAAAUGCAUUUUUUUAAAAAAAAUUAGCCUAGAGGUAAUGAAAUAUCAGCAUCUGCUUCCAGCGUCUAAUUGCAUGGGAUACAGAGAGCUUGCAGGCUGCAGAAAGCAUUGUGUAGGAGUUCAGCAGGGAGGCAGCUCCCUCUCUGCUUGAAUCUCCCCAGAGGCGGCGCUGACGUGGGAAACCUGUAAGAGUUGACCAUGGACAUUGCAGGGUGCACUGGGUGGGGUGCAUUAUUUUAAAACCAUAUAAAUUAUACAAGGAGAAACCCACACAGGCUCUCCUCCUGCCACUUAUGUCUCUCUAUGCUACAGAUUCUGUAAUGCAGGGCUCUUUGACUGAUGGAAUCCAAACAUAUUUAAAGAAGAUGAGCAAGUUUAAAGAGCCUAGGGUUUGUUCUUCUCCAUCCCCUAAGAGGGCGCGUUGCAAUCAAAAGCAUUUUUGAAGUGUACUUAAAAUUCUGUUUUGAACUUAUCUAAUCAGAGAUAAGUAUAGUCAUAAAGUCCUUCUCCUUCCACCAUUUGGCUUCCCUUAUCUCCACUCAUUGUUCUUAUCUCCUGCCAGUCUCAGCUACUGACAAUAGAUUAUCUCUGUUUAGAGAGGCUAAUUGUUUUCAGAAUCUUUUUAAUAAUUGCUUUGGAACAAGGUGUGCAAAUGAGGCUUAAGAUAAUUACAGCUUCAUUUGUUGGUGCAGUUUUACUACACAUUCUUCACACAUGGAGCAAAAUAGCA